GUAGGGAAUAUUGGACAAUGGGCGAAAGCCUGAUCCAGCCAUGCCGCGUGAUAGAUGAAGGCCCUCUGGGUUGUAAAUAUCUUUUAUCUGGGAAGAAACUCCUCUAUUCUUAGAGGCCUGACGGUACCAGAGGAAUAAGCACCGGCUAACUCCGUGCCAGCAGCCGCGGUAAUACGGAGGGUGCAAGCGUUAUCCGGAUUCACUGGGUUUAAAGGGUGCGUAGGCGGGUUGAUAAGUCAGUGGUGAAAGCUCCGGGCUUAACUUGGAAACUGCCAUUGAUACUGUCAGUCUUGAAUGUCGUAGAGGUAAGCGGAAUGUUGCAUGUAGCGGUGAAAUGCUUAGAUAUGUUACAGAACACCAAUUGCGAAGGCAGCUUACUAUGCGAUAAUUGACGCUGAGGCACGAAAGCGUGGGGAGCAAACAGGAUUAGAUACCCGAGUAGUCC
Molecule: ribosomal RNA, 445 nt
Filed under: uncultured bacterium
Lineage: Bacteria
Description: bacterial SSU rRNA
Rfam family: Bacterial small subunit ribosomal RNA
Source: RNAcentral